Hippoglossus stenolepis (Pacific halibut) is the source of this 132-nucleotide long non-coding RNA. RefSeq lists it as uncharacterized. The transcript has 2 exons. Lineage: Eukaryota; Metazoa; Chordata; Actinopteri; Pleuronectiformes; Pleuronectidae. The record is from RefSeq and is a predicted model, not a curated record.
CGUCGAACCGCCAGGCAACCAAUUCUCCAUGCAGGUGGUUAUGGGAGCAAUUCUAACGCAGCCAAGCAUGACUAAGAGGUGGAUCCCUCCAGCAGGAUGUUUCAGAAUUCAAUAAAAGACCUUUUUCAAAUA